GGUGGCCCCGAAAGUUUUAUUCUAGCUUGAUAUUUUGGUUUGUGGGGAUAUUACAUGUAAUUUUUUUUUUUAAUAUUAUGGUCAUGCAGUAAUUAGAUUUGGAGAUUAAGGGAACUUAGAACCAGGAACUCACAAUUACACAGACUUAUCUUGUGCCAGCAGUUGCGGUUAGACAUGAUGUGUUUCUAAUUUUUUCUUGGUUGAUAAUGAUCUUGUUUGUUAAUAUUUUUUUUUUGUCUUUAUAAGGUGAAAUUUUAUAGAUGAAAUAAUUUUUUUAUUUGAGAGAUGUUAUGAAUUUUUUUUUAAGACUAGGAUUAGAUACCCUAUUAUUUUGAAUGUAAAUUUGUUGACUCCUGACUAGUAUUAGAAGUUCUUAAAAUUUAAAGGAUUUGGCGGUGUUUUAGUCUAUUCAGAGGAACCUGCCCUGUAAUUGAUAAUCCACGAUUAAUUUUACUUUAUCUUUAAGUUUGUAUAUCGUCGUUAUUUGAAUAUCUUUUAAGGGUUAAAUGUUCAGGAUUUAGAAUUUUAGUGUAAAUCAGAUCAAGGUGCAGUUUAUGGUGAAGAAGAGGUGGGUUACAUUAAAUUUAUUUGUGGUAUAUAUUUUGAGAAUAUUAUGUUAAAUUGGAUUUGAUAGUAAAUCAAAUUAUAUAAUUUGUUUGAUUUUGGCUCUAGAACAUGCACAUAUCGCCCGUCACUCCAGUCCUAAGGCUGGAUAAGUCGUAACAUAGUAGGUGUACCGGAAGGUGUACC
RNAcentral lists this non-coding RNA (750 nucleotides) under Neolucanus maximus. The record is from RNAcentral. Lineage: Eukaryota; Metazoa; Arthropoda; Insecta; Coleoptera; Lucanidae.